GAGGAAUAUUGGGCAAUGCCCGCAAGGGUGACCCAGCAACGCCGCGUGGAGGAUGAAUGUCGUAAGAUUGAAAACUCCUGUUAGAGGGGAAGAAUAGUACCGGUUGGACCGGUAUAUGACUGUACCCUCAGAGAAAGCCCCGGCUAACUACGUGCCAGCCGCCGCGGUAAUACGUAGGGGGCAAGCGUGGUCCGGAUUUACUGGGUGUAAAGGGCGCGCAGGCGGGAUAAAAAGUCAGUGGUGAAAUCCUACAGCUUAACUGUAGAACUGCCUUUGNUACGUUUAUUCUUGAGUUCGGGAGAGGGAGACGGAAUUCCAGGCGUAGUGGUGAAAUACGUAGAUAUCUGGAAGAACACCAGUUGCGAAGGCGGUCUCUUGGUCCGACACUGAGGCUGAGGCGCGAAAGCGUGGGGAGCAAACA
RNAcentral lists this ribosomal RNA (421 nucleotides) under uncultured bacterium. RNAcentral's name for it is "bacterial SSU rRNA". It matches the Rfam family "Bacterial small subunit ribosomal RNA", at positions 356 to 774 of the family's 1533-position model. The record is from RNAcentral.